Long non-coding RNA from Cyprinus carpio carpio, 1287 nucleotides. Lineage: Eukaryota; Metazoa; Chordata; Actinopteri; Cypriniformes; Cyprinidae. The record is from Ensembl.
CCCUUGUUCUGUCUUUCUCUGUCCUCUGUAAAUUGGGUCAGACUGGGUUCUCUUAGAUCUUAGUGUCUUAGUAGGAAGCACCCUACUCCCACCUCCCCCUCUGCUGCAGAGAGUGUCAUAACUGCAGGAGAGAGGGCUUUCUGAAGCAGGAGGAGAGGAGAGAAGAGUCCACACUCACUUAAGUUUUCCUCUCCCACCUAUGCUAUUCUCACCAUUCUGUAACACAUCUUUAUCGAGGCGAGUAUUCUGGUUGAUGUACUGCCUGCUGCCUUUUGUGUCUUUUUAAGUGGAAGAUGGCCCCUUAUGUUAAGUGGUUAAUGCAUUUUAUUUUUUAGUGCUUUCCUGAAGUUGUUUAAAUAUAUGCUCUGAUAAUAUUAAAAUAUUAUUUAUUUUAAAAUAAGAGCAGGCACUGUAACAAGUUACAUUUAAAGAUCCAAUGAAAUCAGAUGAGAUGAGUUUGGUGGCUUUUAGUCUUCUUGCUUUGAGGCUAAUCUAUAUGCUGAUGUAUUUCUGAAUGUUAACAUAACCCACCGAUUCACUAUCUCAACAAAUUAGAAUACUUCAUAAGACCAAUAAUAAUAAUAAAAAAUACAUUUUUAGUGAAUUGUCAUUUAACCAACUUUUUGUGCUUUUGGCGGUGUGGGCAGUUGCAAAUCCUGCUGGAAAAUGAAAUAAGCAUCUUCAAAAGCUGGUCAGCAAAAGGAAGAAUGAAGUGCUCCAAAAUUUCUUGGUAAACGUAUGCAGUGACUUUGGUUUUCAAAAAAACAUAAUGGACCAACACCAGCAGAUGACAUUGCACCCCAAAUCUUCACAGACUGUGGAAACUUAACACUGGACUUCAAGCAACUUGGGCUAUGAUCUUCUCCACCCUUCCUCCAGACUCUAGGACCUUGAUUUCCAAAUGAAAUCCAAAACUUGCUCUCAUCUGAAAAAAGGACUUUGGACCACUGGUCAACUGUCCAGUUCUUCUUCUCCUUAGCCCAGCUGACACCACCAUAUCAUCUUAUUUUUCACUCCCUUGUCACCAGAUGCCUGUCAAAAGAGACUCUUGUCACCAGAUGCCUAACAAAAGAGAUUUCAUGGUCCAAUCAAUACUUGAUUUUACUCUUAAAAUCAAAGUACAAUGAAAAUAGCAUGUCAAAUGACUUGUACACUUGUACGCUUGUAACUUAUACUUGUACUACAUCCUAAAAUGUGUGCCUUAUUUCAACAAACUGUUUUGUCACAGACUGUUUGCAUGUUAGCAUUAGCAUCUAGCUCAUUCCUUGAAAGGCCACAAGAAAUCAG